GACGAACGCUGGCGGCGUGCUUAACACAUGCAAGUCGAACGGAAAGGCCCUGCUUUUGUGGGGUGCUCGAGUGGCGAACGGGUGAGCAACACGUGAGUAACCUGCCCUUGACUUUGGGAUAACUUCGGGAAACUGGGGCUAAUACCGGAUAGGAGCUCCUGCUGCAUGGUGGGGGUUGGAAAGUUUCGGCGGUUGGGGAUGGACUCGCGGCUUAUCAGCUUGUUGGUGGGGUAGUGGCUUACCAAGGCUUUGACGGGUAGCCGGCCUGAGAGGGUGACCGGCCACAUUGGGACUGAGAUACGGCCCAGACUCCUACGGGAGGCAGCAGUGGGGAAUAUUGCACAAUGGGCGGAAGCCUGAUGCAGCAACGCCGCGUGCGGGAUGACGGCCUUCGGGUUGUAAACCGCUUUCGCCUGUGACGAAGCGUGAGUGACGGUAAUGGGUAAAGAAGCACCGGCUAACUACGUG
RNAcentral lists this ribosomal RNA (468 nucleotides) under uncultured bacterium. RNAcentral's name for it is "partial 16S ribosomal RNA". It matches the Rfam family "Bacterial small subunit ribosomal RNA", at positions 28 to 507 of the family's 1533-position model. The record is from RNAcentral.